CUUACCGGAGGCCGUAUGGAUCCCGAUCCCACCCCUCUCCCGCGACGGAGAACCCCCAACUUCCGGUAAGCCAGUCUUUUCACUGCCUUAGCGGAAGCGUAAGGCAGUGACGUUA
RNAcentral lists this non-coding RNA (115 nucleotides) under uncultured Superficieibacter sp. RNAcentral describes it as "Magnesium Sensor". It matches the Rfam family "Magnesium riboswitch aptamer (Magnesium responsive RNA element)". Rfam says of the family: The Magnesium sensor RNA element is a cis-regulatory element that regulates the expression of the magnesium transporter protein MgtA. It is located in the 5' UTR of this gene. Lineage: Bacteria; Pseudomonadati; Pseudomonadota; Gammaproteobacteria; Enterobacterales; Enterobacteriaceae. The record is from RNAcentral.